GUCAUUUUCACUACCUAACAUUGCUGCCUGAGCUCUGCCUCCUGUUAGAUCAGUGGUGGCAUUAAAUUCUCAUAGGAACACAAACCCUACUGUGUGAACUGUGCAUAUGAAGGAUCUAGGUUGUGUGCUUCUUAUGAGAAUCUAAUGCCUGAUGAUCUGAGGUGGAACAGUUUCAUCCCAAAACCAUC
Molecule: long non-coding RNA, 188 nt
Organism: Sapajus apella (tufted capuchin)
Lineage: Eukaryota; Metazoa; Chordata; Mammalia; Primates; Cebidae
Exons: 3
Source: RefSeq, a predicted model, not a curated record